UACUUACACAAACCUAGAUGGUAUACCCUACUACACACCUAGGCUACAUAGUACUAAUCUUAUGGGAACAUCGCUGUAUAUGCAGUCCAUGGUUGACCAUUUCGAAAUGUCAUUAUGCAGUGCAAGCCUG
This is a non-coding RNA of Ceratotherium simum simum (southern white rhinoceros), 130 nucleotides long. The record is from RefSeq and is a predicted model, not a curated record. Lineage: Eukaryota; Metazoa; Chordata; Mammalia; Perissodactyla; Rhinocerotidae.